Brassica napus (rape) is the source of this 3624-nucleotide long non-coding RNA. RefSeq lists it as uncharacterized. The record is from RefSeq and is a predicted model, not a curated record. Lineage: Eukaryota; Viridiplantae; Streptophyta; Magnoliopsida; Brassicales; Brassicaceae. The transcript is spliced from 2 exons.
GCUAUAUUUGUCUUUUUAAAUCCCUAAACCGUAAACGAAUUUUUAAACCCUAAACUUUAAAACAUAUAUUUUAAACUCAGAUAUUAAGUAUAUAGUCAAAAACUAUUUAUGUUUCAUAAAUUUAAUCUCAAUCUCAAUACCUCAAACUUUUAACUCUCAAACCCUGGGCUCAAACCCUAUACUCAAACCUUUAAACCCUUAGACUAAUUUCAUUUAGUAUAAUUCUUUUAUUUAAAAUCUUUAAACUAAUUUAAGAUUACAGUUUAAAAAUUAAUCUCAAAUCUCAAUACCCCAAACUUUUGAUCCUCAAAUUCUAUUAUAUUUUAAAAUUUAAUUAUCAUGUUUAAUUCUUUAAAUUUAUGCAAUUUUUGAAGUGAAAUGAGAAGAACAAUUUUAUUUUUUUAGGACCAUUGAUUGAAUUUGAUCUAGUGGCAACAAUCAUUAUUUGACUUUUGAAUCUCUAAACCCUAAACAUUAAACACAAACUUUAAACUAUAAUACUAUAAACUUUAUAAUACAUGAAAACUUAAACUUCAGAUCUUAGAUAUAAAACUAAAAAAUUGAAUAUUUUUGAAAUUCUCAAAUCAUAUAAUUUUUUUUAUCAAAUCAGUUUUUAAUCAUAUAACCACAAAAUUCAAAUGCCAAACUUAAAUCCUCUAGUUCAUAAACUUUAAACUAUAUUUCAUAUAUCCAAAUUAUAAACCUUAAUUUUAAAUUUCAAACUUAAAUCCUCUAGUUCAUAAACUUUAAACUAUAUUUCAUAUAUCCAAAUAUAAAUCACAAAAUCAUAAACUUUAAACCUUUUCUUAAAAUAAUUUUUAUUUUCAAAAAUAUAUCAUAAAUAUUUUUAUACUAAACACACAAAAUAAAAUAGAAAACAAUGUUAUUAAGAAAAAUAGGAAUCAAAUACAAAAAUUUGAUUGGUCAACACAAACUGGCCAAUCACAUACAAGGACGGAGAUCAUGCUUUAUAUAAUCACAACCAUUGAUUAAACUUUUUGAAGGGUCCAUAUUACUCCUACUUCUUCUCCUCUCUCUCUCUCUGUCGCUUUUGUUUUCAGAUCCAAAAAUUUUGUAACUGUCUAGACUCACAAAACUCAUCUUCUUUCUCUCUGCAUCUUCAGUUUCUCUAAGUCACAGACUCAUUGUCACCAUCCUCUGUCGCUCAGUAUCCUUCUCCUUACAGAUAAUGGAGGUCGUGAGACAACAACAGAGGAGGAGCAUCCCAUCUACUCUAUUCUCUCUCUCUCUGAACCGUGAUGCCUCCUCUCUGUCCUGUGACGAAGUGACGCCUCCUCUCUGUUCUGGUUUCAGAGAAAGACUAGAGCAAUAGCGUAAGCUUGGAGAAUCAGAGCAAGGUGGGAGAAGACAGAGCAACGGCGUCGGAGAAGACCGAGCAGCGGCGUAGGGGAAGACAGAGCAGGGGCGGCGUUGGGGUAGACAGAGAUGGUCGCGAGCAGAGAUGGUGGUGCGGCGGGUGAGGACUGGAAGAUGAAGAAGGCAACAAAGUUCAUGGCUUGAUAAGACGAUGAAGAUCAUGGAAGAACACGACAACGAAGGUGGUGGUGCGACGGGUGAGGGUUGGAAGAUGAAGAAACGACGAAGGUGGUGGUGUUGGGGUGGCGCUUAGUUAGUACUAAUUAGGUUAAAGCUUGGUUUAGUUAGUAAUUAGGUUAAAGUUUUUGGUUUAUUAUUUAAUUAUAUAUUUUUUUAUAUUUUUGUAAUCCAAUUUUGUUACAGAUCAAUAUUAAUAAAGAAAUUUUAAAUAUCUGAAUUAAUUUUAAAUUUUAAUUAUGCUUUUAUUUUUAAAUUAUUAACUGAAAAAUAAUUCUAAAAUAAAUAAUUAACAAAAUAUAAUUUACAAUAUAUAGCAGAAACAAAUUGCUACAGUAGUUUUAACAAUAACAAAUCAAAAACGCUGUUAAUAAAAUAAAUAAUAGCAUUAAAGACAUGCUAUUAAAAAAAAUUUAAUUGCAUAUUGAAAAGCGCUAUUGUAGUGGAAGAAAAAAUAGCAACGCUAAAAACCGCUAUGUAAUGUCAUUUACCUAUUAUGACGGGCGAUGAUACAGCGCUUCAAAAACCGCUAUCGUAUCGUUACAUAGCGUUAUUCGUCCGCUAUAAAAACACAUUUUUCUUGUAGUGAACAUACAGUUAAUUAGUAUUUGCUAAGUAAUAAGUUAUGUGAUUUUGCUCUAUAUUUAAGGAGUGUAGGUAUUUCUUGCUACCAAAAGAGCCAGUUACAAUUGACAUAAUAAAAACUAAAAUAACAUGAUUUUAGGUAUUCUGAUUGUCAGUAUAUCCAUUGACAAAUAGGAAGAACAAAAAUAAAAAUAAAUAUCACUAUAUAUCCUCUUCACCAAGUCAAAUAAUCAUUGGUUAUGUCUAAAAUGAUAUAUAACUUUUCUUUUGAAAUUUAAACAAAAAAAGUCAUCUGCAAAUAAUCUCAUUUAAAUAACAUUAAUCAUUUUGUUUAUCCGGUGUUAAAAAAAUCAUUUUUUAUCCCAACAAUGAUCUAAAAGAUGAUGUUAUAAGAUAAGUGGGAAGAUUAAUUUCUGUGUACUAAAAAUAAAAAUUUAGAUUUGGAAAACCAUGAUAAAUAUAUAUAUUUUAUCUAAAACAAAGAAAAUCUCUCUAAAACCCGUACUAGUAUGUAUAUGUUUGGAAUCUCCAACUGAAUUCUCUGCCUCACAGCAUAUUUAUAUACAAAAUUAUAUGAAUAGAUAUGUGAAAGUUUUAUCUCUAUAAAAGAAAUUCAGUAUUUUACCUAGUUUUUGGUUUUGAUCUGUAGUUUUGAUUUCUUUACUUUGUUUGACUGGUAUUUAUAAUUUUAGAAGAAUGAAGAAGAUAUAUAUAAAGUUCAAAAAUAAUAAGAUAGAUGAGAAAUAGGAAUGAAAAAGAAGAACAAGGAAAAUAGAAAAUAAGGAUGUAAAAAUGAGAAGUCAAAGUCAAAAGAGAAGAGAUGAGAUAAUAAGGUAAAAAAUAGUGGAGGAUGGAUUUGAUAGAUAUGGGAUAUGAAGACAAAAAAAAAGAAACAUGAGAGAGAAAAAUAUUAUGAAGAUAAGAAAUAUGAGGUCAUAAAUGAGAAUGGAAGAUAUUAAAGAUAUGUAUAAGAGGUUCUACAAAAUGUGAAGGCAAAAGCAAAAGGAAUGAAAAAAAUGAGAAGAAGUUCCGUAGAAGAAUUGAAAAAAUGAGAAAUAUUAAAGAAAAAAAAUGCAAGAAAGAUGAAAGAUAUAAAGCAAAAAAAUAAUAAGGAAGAUGUAAAUAUGGUCAUAAAUAAUCUUCAAAAAAAAAUGGUCAUAAAUAAGAAUAGAGGAGAUAAACUAUAUGAAAAAGAGGUGAGAUAUGAAUGCAAUAAGAAAAAUAAAAGAGAUAAUUGAUAAGGCAUCACCAGCCGUGGACUCCAACUGAUCAAAUGCGAAGAGUAAUUGAUAAGGCUAUUAGAAACAUGAUCGUCUACGGUACAAGCCAGGUCACAAGUAUGGAGGUCUUCUCCAGCGUUGGUUUCUGAUUACCACAUAGCUUGUUUUCUCUUUCUUUUAUAUACCAUACCGUAAAGAAAUCAUAGUCUAAAGAUAGAGCUUUGUACAUAACAUUAUUUGAUUGAUCAAUAAAUUUUAAAUUUCA